This 469-nucleotide ribosomal RNA is filed under the name uncultured bacterium. Its description in RNAcentral is "partial 16S ribosomal RNA". It matches the Rfam family "Bacterial small subunit ribosomal RNA", at positions 28 to 507 of the family's 1533-position model. The record is from RNAcentral.
GACGAACGCUGGCGGCGUGCUUAACACAUGCAAGUCGAACGGAAAGGCCCUGCUUGCAGGGUGCUCGAGUGGCGAACGGGUGAGUAACACGUGGGUGAUCUGCCCCUUACUUUGGGAUAAGCCUGGGAAACUGGGUCUAAUACUGGAUAGGACCAUGCUGUAGGUGGUGUGGUGGAAAGAUUAGUUUCGGUAAGGGAUGAGCUCGCGGCCUAUCAGCUUGUUGGUGGGGUAAUGGCCUACCAAGGCGUCGACGGGUAGCCGGCCUGAGAGGGUGGACGGCCACAUUGGGACUGAGAUACGGCCCAGACUCCUACGGGAGGCAGCAGUGGGGAAUAUUGCACAAUGGGCGCAAGCCUGAUGCAGCGACGCCGCGUGGGGGAUGACGGCCUUCGGGUUGUAAACUCCUUUCAGCCAUGACGAAGCCCUUGUGGUGACGGUAGUGGUAGAAGAAGUACCGGCUAACUACGUG